RNAcentral lists this ribosomal RNA (1422 nucleotides) under Bacillus cereus. RNAcentral's name for it is "partial 23S ribosomal RNA". It matches the Rfam family "Bacterial large subunit ribosomal RNA", at positions 1499 to 2925 of the family's 2925-position model. The record is from RNAcentral. Lineage: Bacteria; Bacillati; Bacillota; Bacilli; Caryophanales; Bacillaceae.
UGGUUGUGCACGUCCAAGCAGUUAGGCUGAUAAGUAGGCAAAUCCGCUUAUCGUGAAGGCUGAGCUGUGAUGGGGAAGCUCCUUAUGGAGCGAAGUCUUUGAUUCCCCGCUGCCAAGAAAAGCUUCUAGCGAGAUAAAAGGUGCCUGUACCGCAAACCGACACAGGUAGGCGAGGAGAGAAUCCUAAGGUGUGCGAGAGAACUCUGGUUAAGGAACUCGGCAAAAUGACCCCGUAACUUCGGGAGAAGGGGUGCUUUCUUAACGGAAAGCCGCAGUGAAUAGGCCCAAGCGACUGUUUAGCAAAAACACAGCUCUCUGCGAAGCCGUAAGGCGAAGUAUAGGGGGUGACACCUGCCCGGUGCUGGAAGGUUAAGGAGAGGGGUUAGCGUAAGCGAAGCUCUGAACUGAAGCCCCAGUAAACGGCGGCCGUAACUAUAACGGUCCUAAGGUAGCGAAAUUCCUUGUCGGGUAAGUUCCGACCCGCACGAAAGGUGUAACGAUUUGGGCACUGUCUCAACCAGAGACUCGGUGAAAUUAUAGUACCUGUGAAGAUGCAGGUUACCCGCGACAGGACGGAAAGACCCCGUGGAGCUUUACUGUAGCCUGAUAUUGAAUUUUGGUACAGUUUGUACAGGAUAGGCGGGAGCCAUUGAAACCGGAGCGCUAGCUUCGGUGGAGGCGCUGGUGGGAUACCGCCCUGACUGUAUUGAAAUUCUAACCUACGGGUCUUAUCGACCCGGGAGACAGUGUCAGGUGGGCAGUUUGACUGGGGCGGUCGCCUCCUAAAGUGUAACGGAGGCGCCCAAAGGUUCCCUCAGAAUGGUUGGAAAUCAUUCGUAGAGUGCAAAGGCAUAAGGGAGCUUGACUGCGAGACCUACAAGUCGAGCAGGGACGAAAGUCGGGCUUAGUGAUCCGGUGGUUCCGCAUGGAAGGGCCAUCGCUCAACGGAUAAAAGCUACCCCGGGGAUAACAGGCUUAUCUCCCCCAAGAGUCCACAUCGACGGGGAGGUUUGGCACCUCGAUGUCGGCUCAUCGCAUCCUGGGGCUGUAGUCGGUCCCAAGGGUUGGGCUGUUCGCCCAUUAAAGCGGUACGCGAGCUGGGUUCAGAACGUCGUGAGACAGUUCGGUCCCUAUCCGUCGUGGGCGUAGGAAAUUUGAGAGGAGCUGUCCUUAGUACGAGAGGACCGGGAUGGACGCACCGCUGGUGUACCAGUUGUUCUGCCAAGGGCAUAGCUGGGUAGCUAUGUGCGGAAGGGAUAAGUGCUGAAAGCAUCUAAGCAUGAAGCCCCCCUCAAGAUGAGAUUUCCCAUAGCGUAAGCUAGUAAGAUCCCUGAAAGAUGAUCAGGUUGAUAGGUUCGAGGUGGAAGCAUGGUGACAUGUGGAGCUGACGAAUACUAAUAGAUCGAGGACUUAACCAUAUAA